Molecule: transfer RNA, 84 nt
Filed under: Dichomitus squalens LYAD-421 SS1
Lineage: Eukaryota; Fungi; Basidiomycota; Agaricomycetes; Polyporales; Polyporaceae
Description: tRNA-Pro
Rfam family: tRNA
About the family: Transfer RNA (tRNA) molecules are approximately 80 nucleotides in length.
Source: RNAcentral
GGCCUGGUGGUCUAGUAGUAUGAUUCCUUCUUAGGGCUUUUUGGCAUUUGGAGGAGGUCCCGGGUUCAAUUCCCGGCCAGGCCC